Molecule: long non-coding RNA, 536 nt
Filed under: Lactuca sativa (garden lettuce)
Lineage: Eukaryota; Viridiplantae; Streptophyta; Magnoliopsida; Asterales; Asteraceae
Description: long non-coding RNA (LSAT_LNC000911)
Source: RNAcentral
GAGGCUCGGAUAAUCCUUCGAGUAAAAGACUCGUCCCUACAACGGUUGGACUCAGACAAGAGUUGCGCAAUAGGGCCAAAUCCAGCACUCUAAGAUUAUUCAACCCUGCUCACAUGUGUUGUGACGUAUUCACCUAAUGGUUAACUCCCAUCACUCAGAGUCUCACAAAGCACAAAGCAAACAGCAUUCAGACAUAGGAAACUACUCAAGCGAAUCUAUUCUCAUAACGAGAAACUGCACCAGCAUACAAUGCUAAGCUCAUACUAUCAGACAUAACCUAAACAUGCUAUCCUACUACUGUCUACUCACUACUAGCAUGCAAUUCUCAUAAGGCUGCAACACAUAAGCAGGCACAUAAGGCAUCCUCUUAGAUCCUUGGUCCUAUACUAGCAUGCUGUUCUACUGAAGCUGAAACUGAAAUAAAANCAGACAUAACCUAAACAUGCUAUCCUACUACUGUCUACUCACUACUAGCAUGCAAUUCUCAUAAGGCUGCAACACAUAAGCAGGCACAUAAGGCAUCCUCUUAGAUCCUU